RNAcentral lists this ribosomal RNA (440 nucleotides) under uncultured bacterium. Its description in RNAcentral is "partial 16S ribosomal RNA". It matches the Rfam family "Bacterial small subunit ribosomal RNA", at positions 338 to 795 of the family's 1533-position model. The record is from RNAcentral.
CCUACGGGAGGCAGCAGUAGGGAAUAUUGCUCAAUGGGGGAAAGCCUGAACCAGCAACGCCGCGUGGAGGAUGAAGGUUUUCGGAUUGUAAACUCCUUUUGUUAGAGAAGAUAAUGACGGUAUCUAACGAAUAAUCACCGGCUCACUCCGUGCCAGCAGCCGCGGUAAUACGUCGGGUGCAAGCGUUAUUCGGAUUUACUGGGUGUAAAGAGUGCGUAGGAGGGGUAGCAAGUCAGAUGUGAAAUCCUAUGGCUUAACCAUAGAACUGCAUUUGAAACGGUUAUUCUAGAGUAGUGGAGAGGUAGGUGGAAUUCUUGGUGUAGGGGUGAAAUCCGUAGAGAUCAAGAGGAAUACUCAUUGCGAAGGCGACCUGCUAGAACAUAACUGACGCUGAGGCGCGAAAGCGUGGGGAGCAAACAGGAUUAGAUACCCGGGUAGUC